Molecule: unclassified non-coding RNA, 171 nt
Filed under: uncultured fungus
Lineage: Eukaryota; Fungi
Description: sequence contains ITS1
Source: RNAcentral
GUAACUAUUAUGUUUUUUCAGACGCUGAUUGCAACUGCAAAUGGUUUAAAUUGUCCAAUCGGCGGGCGAACCCGCCGAGGAAACGAAGGUACUCAAAAGACAUGGGUAAGAGAUAGCAGGCAAAGCCUACAACUCUAGGUAAUGAUCCUUCCGCAGGUUCACCUACGGAAA